AUGAGUAACACACCUGUGCUGGCUUUACCAAACUUUGAGAAAACAUUCACUGUGGAGACAGAUGCUUGUAACACUGGUGUAGGAGCUGUGUUAUCUCAGGAAGGCCAUCCUGUGGCUUAUUAUAGCAAAGCUCUGGGAGUGACCAGCCAAAAGAAAUCCAUUUAUGAGAAGGAAUUUUUGGCAAUUAUGAUGGCUAUUGACAGGUGGAGAUCCUACCUGACCAGAGCACCUUUUGUUAUAAAAACAGAUCAUCAAAGCCUAUGUCAUUUGAGUGAUCAAAAUCUGACAUCUGAUCUGCAGAGGAAAGCAAUGACCAAGUUGGUGGGCUUACAAUUCUCCAUAUAGUACAGAAAAGGGGUGGAAAAUACUGCUGAUGAUGCCUUGUCCAGGGUUGCACAUCUGUUUGCUACUCAGAAUGUGACCAUAAGCAAACCUAUAUGGGUGCAGGAAGUUCUCAAUUCUUAUUCUGUAGAUCAUGUGGCUCUCUCAUGUUGCAAAAGCUUGCAGUGGAUCCUAAUGCUUGCCCUGGAUUCCAGUUACAGGAAGGUUUGA
This 552-nucleotide ribosomal RNA is filed under the name Triticum aestivum (bread wheat). Its description in RNAcentral is "partial small subunit ribosomal RNA". The record is from RNAcentral. Lineage: Eukaryota; Viridiplantae; Streptophyta; Magnoliopsida; Poales; Poaceae.